GUUGAGUUGCAGAUACUGGUGCUGGAGUGCACAGGGUUUUCCAAUGGCGGGCUAGGUGUCGAGUGCAGAGUUUAGCGUUGAGUGCAGAUUCUGGUGCGGAGUGCAGAAGUGGGCAUUGGGGAAGCCACAUGUCAGAGUUAGAUGCUGAGUGCAGGGCUUG
Molecule: long non-coding RNA, 160 nt
Organism: Sapajus apella (tufted capuchin)
Lineage: Eukaryota; Metazoa; Chordata; Mammalia; Primates; Cebidae
Exons: 4
Source: RefSeq, a predicted model, not a curated record